UCAAACGGUAUUCGACGGUGAAUAAUAAAAAUGACAUUGCGACUCAUUCUAUUAUUGCUCGAGAAUACCCUUUGA
Caenorhabditis remanei is the source of this 75-nucleotide non-coding RNA. The record is from Rfam. Lineage: Eukaryota; Metazoa; Nematoda; Chromadorea; Rhabditida; Rhabditidae.